UAUAUAUAUAUAUAUAUAUAUACACACACACUGUCUUCCUGUGCAGUUACAAAACGAUUUGUUUCUUUCGCACUAUAACAGAUCUUCACACUAACUCUCACAUACCUGUGGUGCUUAUGAAUUAUUGGCCUCCUACUUGUGAAAGAAAUCUAACACUGUCCUCACCCUUUACAGCAAAAAAAGGAGUGAACUGAGGAGGAGUGGAAAAAUAAUGACAAUAUUUCUUUCUUGCGUAAGACAAAGGUUUUGCUUAUAAUAAAUUCACUGAGCAAGACA
RNAcentral lists this long non-coding RNA (276 nucleotides) under Athene cunicularia (burrowing owl). Its description in RNAcentral is "lncRNA (ENSACUG00000010907.1)". The record is from RNAcentral. Lineage: Eukaryota; Metazoa; Chordata; Aves; Strigiformes; Strigidae.